Molecule: ribosomal RNA, 424 nt
Filed under: Verrucomicrobiota bacterium
Lineage: Bacteria; Pseudomonadati; Verrucomicrobiota
Description: Verrucomicrobia bacterium partial 16S ribosomal RNA
Rfam family: Bacterial small subunit ribosomal RNA
Source: RNAcentral
UGAGGAAUAUUGGUCAAUGGGCGAGAGCCUGAACCAGCCAAGUAGCGUGCAGGAUGACGGCCCUAUGGGUUGUAAACUGCUUUUAUAUGGGAAUAAAGUGAGGGACGUGUCCCUUAUUGCAUGUACCAUACGAAUAAGGACCGGCUAAUUCCGUGCCAGCAGCCGCGGUAAUACGGAAGGUCCAGGCGUUAUCCGGAUUUAUUGGGUUUAAAGGGAGCGUAGGCUGUUUGUUAAGCGUGUUGUGAAAUGUAGGAGCUCAACUUUUAGAUUGCAGCGCGAACUGGCAGACUUGAGUGCGCACAACGUAGGCGGAAUUCAUGGUGUAGCGGUGAAAUGCUUAGAUAUCAUGACGAACUCCGAUUGCGAAGGCAGCUUACGGGAGCGAAACUGACGCUAAAGCUCGAAGGUGCGGGUAUCGAACAGG